This 863-nucleotide ribosomal RNA is filed under the name Escherichia coli. RNAcentral describes it as "partial 23S ribosomal RNA". It matches the Rfam family "Bacterial large subunit ribosomal RNA", at positions 2059 to 2916 of the family's 2925-position model. Lineage: Bacteria; Pseudomonadati; Pseudomonadota; Gammaproteobacteria; Enterobacterales; Enterobacteriaceae. The record is from RNAcentral.
AUGCAGUGUACCCGCGGCAAGACGGAAAGACCCCGUGAACCUUUACUAUAGCUUGACACUGAACAUUGAGCCUUGAUGUGUAGGAUAGGUGGGAGGCUUUGAAGUGUGGACGCCAGUCUGCAUGGAGCCGACCUUGAAAUACCACCCUUUAAUGUUUGAUGUUCUAACGUUGACCCGUAAUCCGGGUUGCGGACAGUGUCUGGUGGGUAGUUUGACUGGGGCGGUCUCCUCCUAAAGAGUAACGGAGGAGCACGAAGGUUGGCUAAUCCUGGUCGGACAUCAGGAGGUUAGUGCAAUGGCAUAAGCCAGCUUGACUGCGAGCGUGACGGCGCGAGCAGGUGCGAAAGCAGGUCAUAGUGAUCCGGUGGUUCUGAAUGGAAGGGCCAUCGCUCAACGGAUAAAAGGUACUCCGGGGAUAACAGGCUGAUACCGCCCAAGAGUUCAUAUCGACGGCGGUGUUUGGCACCUCGAUGUCGGCUCAUCACAUCCUGGGGCUGAAGUAGGUCCCAAGGGUAUGGCUGUUCGCCAUUUAAAGUGGUACGCGAGCUGGGUUUAGAACGUCGUGAGACAGUUCGGUCCCUAUCUGCCGUGGGCGCUGGAGAACUGAGGGGGGCUGCUCCUAGUACGAGAGGACCGGAGUGGACGCAUCACUGGUGUUCGGGUUGUCAUGCCAAUGGCACUGCCCGGUAGCUAAAUGCGGAAGAGAUAAGUGCUGAAAGCAUCUAAGCACGAAACUUGCCCCGAGAUGAGUUCUCCCUGACUCCUUGAGAGUCCUGAAGGAACGUUGAAGACGACGACGUUGAUAGGCCGGGUGUGUAAGCGCAGCGAUGCGUUGAGCUAACCGGUACUAAUGAACCGUGAGG